This 572-nucleotide ribosomal RNA is filed under the name uncultured archaeon. RNAcentral's name for it is "bacterial SSU rRNA". It matches the Rfam family "Archaeal small subunit ribosomal RNA", at positions 238 to 812 of the family's 1478-position model. The record is from RNAcentral.
GAGGUAAUGGCUCACCAAGCCUUUANCCGGUGCGGNCCAUGAGAGCGGUGGCCCGGAGAUGGGUACUGAGACAAGGGCCCAGGCCCUACGGGGCGCAGCAGUCGCGAAACCUUCGCAAUACACGAAAGUGUGACGGGGCUAUCCCGAGUNCCAUCUGCUGAGGAUGGCUUUUGCCCAGUAUAGAUAGCUGGGAGAAUAAGGAGAGGGCAAGUCUGGUGUCAGCCGCCGCGGUAAUACCAGCUCUUCGAGUGGUGUGGAUGAUUAUUGGGCCUGAAGCAUCCGUAGCCGGCUGGAUAAGUCCUCUGUUAAAUCCAGCGAUUCAAUCGUUGGUCUGCGGGGGAUACUGUCCGGCUUGGGGGCGGGAGAGGCCGACGGUAUUCUCGGGGUAGGGGUGAAAUCCUAUAAUCCCGGGAAGACCACCAGUGGCGAAGGCUGUCGGCUAGAACGCGCUCGACGGUGAGGGAUGAAAGCUGGGGGAGCGAACCGGAUUAGAUACCCGGGUAGUCCCAGCUGUAAACGAUGCAAGCUAGGUGUUAGGGCGGCCACGUGCCGCUCUAGUGCCGCAGGGAAGC